Long non-coding RNA from Lycium barbarum (goji berry), 581 nucleotides. RefSeq lists it as uncharacterized. The transcript has 3 exons. Lineage: Eukaryota; Viridiplantae; Streptophyta; Magnoliopsida; Solanales; Solanaceae. The record is from RefSeq and is a predicted model, not a curated record.
UUAUCCAAAAUCAAAAGAAUUUAUCAAAAUGGCUAGGGCCAAACGGACCUGACCCAAAUAAAAGGCCAUUUAAAAUUCUUGGCCCAAAAUACUAAAAAAGAAAUAAAAUGAAAAAGACAAAAUAAAAUAAUGGUUGAAUUAGGCAACCAGAUUUGCUUUUGUUGCUUCUCUCUCUUCUUGUUCGAUAUACUCUAGAACCUUCAUAGCUGCGCUUGUGAAAAUGAUUAAAUUGACUUUGAUUCACGCCGAUGGUGUCACUUUCCGAUGGUAUCAUCCUUCUCAGCUAAAUCGAGGGAUGAUGAGGCUCUUGCAACCCCUUUUAUAAGCCGCCAUUAAUGUUGACCAAGUUCUGAGUAUUAGGUCAGACCCACUUCUGUGACGCGUGGCUGAUAGUCAUUUCAGCAUUAUCUCCGAGUUUCCAGGGUGAGCAUGGCCGUUCGCUACCUUGAAGACUUCUCUAUCUUUAUGUCCUAUUCUAUUCAGAGACAUAGACAAUUAUGUAUUUUUAUUCUAGACUUGUAUUAUUUCCUAUUUAGAUGCUCUUGUAUUAUUCAGACUAGAUCCUGGGGGUAUUAUUAUUA